GUGAAAUGUGGGAUGAAAUGAGGGAUUUGGAGUGGAAUUAGGAGUGGGUGAUAUAGGUGUAAUGUGAAUGUGAAUGAAAUGGAUGAUUGGAGGUGAUUAGAAGUGAAAUUGGAGGAGUUUGGAGAGUGAAAAUGGGUUGUCAAUGGAGUUUUCCGUGUGGGAGACCGUGUGAAUUGAUGAUGGGACGGAUGGAGUGGUUGAGAAGAUGAAGAAAUUCAAAUUUGACACGCUUUCCUGUGUAACCACGCC
RNAcentral lists this long non-coding RNA (249 nucleotides) under Trifolium pratense (red clover). Its description in RNAcentral is "long non-coding RNA (TPRA_LNC006265)". Lineage: Eukaryota; Viridiplantae; Streptophyta; Magnoliopsida; Fabales; Fabaceae. The record is from RNAcentral.